UUUUCCUUGUCGUUGUUAGAAAGAUGCCACCAGCUGCCUCUGUGUGGAGGGCGGUGCAGGGAGGCACUAUCAGGACAGGCCUUUGGGACGCUGCCCCGGCCAUCUGGGCACAGAGGGCAAGAAUAAUCAAGACUCUGCGGCAGAUGAGGACCUGGCUCUGUAAGUGGACAAGACCCCUCAAGGCGGACCUGGGGUUCAAAUAAAGGUCUUCUGACAUCCGCUGCAAUUUAUCAGAAGACUCCCCAACCUUUUCUGGUGAUUUACAAGUCAGAAGGAACCGGUGGGGAGGGAGAAAAAAUCAGAGGAGAAGUGAAGCCUGCACCAUCCCAUUGGUGAGCCAUUCCCAAUUUUCUUCCAUCUUCCCUUUCCAAAAACCAGCCAGCCCACUCACUGGCGUUUUGUUUUUACCGUAUGAUUUCAUUUAUUUUUAAAAGUUUUUUAAAAAAUGUAUGCGUAUGUGUAUUUAUUUAUUUAUUAUUCAUAUGGAAGUAUAGUUACUUUAUAAGAUUGUGGUGUUUUUACAGGAUCUACUCCAUCACAAAUUAUUACAAGAUAAUGGCUCUGCUUCUCUGUGCUGAAUAAUACAUCCUUGUUGUUUCUCCAUUUUAUACAUAGUGAUUUGAAUCUUUUAAUCCCAUAUCCCUAUCUCGCCUCUCCCUCUUUGUCUCUCUCCAGCUUUGAUCCCUUGCUCAUCUUCUGUAUCUGUGAACCUGUUUUGCUCUACACAUUCAUUUAUAUUUUAGAGUCCAUACAUAAGUGAUAUCAUACAGUUUUUGUCUUUCUCUCACUUAUUUCACUAAGCAUACAAUUCUCUAGGUCCACCCACAUUGCUGCAAAUGGCAAUAUUUCAUUUUUUAGGGCUGAGUAAUAUUUCAUUGUGUAUAGAUAGACCACAACUUCUUUGUCCAUUCGUCUUUUGAUGGACACUUGGUUUGCUUCUGUAUCUUGGCUACUGUACAUAGUGCUGCUAUGAACAUUGGGCUGCAGAUAUCUUUUUGAAUUAGAGUUUUCCUUUUCCCAGGUAUAUAUAUCUAGGAACAGAGUUGCUGGAUCAUAUAAUAGUUCUAUUUUCAGUGCUUUGAGGAAUCUUCAUACUGUUUUCCAUAGUGGUUGCCUAAAUUUACAUACUCACCAACAGGUACAAGAGUUCCUUUUUCUCCACAACCUCUCCAACAUUUGCUAUUUGCAGACUUUUUGAUCAUAGCCAUUUUGACUGGGGUGAGGUGAUAUCUCAUUAUUUUGAUUUGAAUGUCUUUAAUAGUUAGCAAAAUUGAGCAUCUUUUCAUGUGCCUAUUAGCCAUCUGUACGUCCUCCUUGGAAAAAUGUUGACUCAGGUCUUCUGCUUAUUUUUUGAUUGGGUUGUUUAAUUUUUUUUUUUUUGGUCUUUUUGCCAUUUCUUGGGCCACUUCCGCAGCAUAUGGAGGUUCCUAGGCUAGGGGUCUAAUCUGACCUGUAACUGCCAGCCUACGCCAGAGCCACAGCAACUCAGGAUCCAAGCCACAUCUGCAAACUAAACCACAGCUCACGGCAACGCUGGACCGUUAACCCACUGAGCAAUGUCAGGGAUCGAACCCACAACCUCAUGGUUCCUAUCAGAUUAAUUAACCACAGCGCCACGAUGGGAACUCCUAAUUUUUUCUUUUGAUAUUGAUUUGUACCUAUUUUGGAUAUUAACCCUUUGUCAGUCAUAUCAUUCACAAAUAUUUUCUCCCAUUCUGUAGGUCGUCCUUAGUUUUGUCCACAGUUUCUUUUUCUGUGCACAAAAUUUUAAGUUUAAUUAGGUCUCAUUUGUUUAUUUUUGCUUUUAUACCUUUUUGCCUUAGGAGAUCGAUCCCCCAAAUAUUGCUACGAUUUAUGUCAAAGGAGUGUUCUGCCUAUGUUCUCUUCUAGGGGUUUUAUGGUUUCAGACCUAACAGUCAGGCCUUUAAUCCACCUACUGUGGAGCUUACUUAUGAACAGAGACAGGAAGUAACAAACACUUUAUUUAUUUAUUCAUCUUUUUAGGGCUGCACCUGCGGCAUAUGGAGAUUCCUAGACUGGGGUCUGAAUCAGAGCUGUAGUUGCUGGCUUAUACCACAGCCACAGCAACUUGGGAUCCGAGCCUUGUCUGCAACCUACACCACAGCUCACAGCAACACUGGAUCCUUAAUCCACUGAGCAAGGCCAGGGAUUGAAACCGCAUCCUCAUGGAUACUAGUCAGGUUCGUUUCUGCUGAGCCACAAUGGGAACUCUAACAAACACUUUAAAAUACGCUUUUAGCUGUUGCAAUUUUCUUUGGUGAGAUGUCAAGCAAGUAAGGAGCGAGACAGUGAACAGUGGAUCAGUGACGGUAUUGCUGAGGAGGCGGCACCUGAGCAGUGACCUGGUCACACCAGUGACCAGUGUAAAGGGCUGGAGAAGGGGAUGACAAGGUGAGAGAACUGUAGGGGUUUAUAGCCAUGAAACGUGGUGAGACAGCCAACGAGUGAGCCCCCUCUCGGAUCUCUGAGCUUGAGGACACGUGUACAUGGAUGGACAUCCCCAACUGCCACUGGGCGGCCUCAUGAUUUGGGGCAAAUUACUUCUCCCUGAAAUUUCUUACUAGUCUUGGAAAUAAGGGAAGAACUUGAAAAAAAAAAUAUUCUGUAUCACUUUGACUAAAAAUCCUGAUUCCAUGCUUGGUUUGCCCUAAUGACUUGAUAAUCCUUUUUCAUUUUCCCCAACCUCUACUUUCCGGUCAGAUUAGAAAACUAUGCUCCCCUUUGGAUUCCGAUCAUGGGCCCCAGCAGUGGUUUCAGAGAUUCCACGUAUAAGAAGCAAGACACGUGGUGCAUUCUAGAUGGAGCAUCCUUAGCACAGAUAGAAAAAUCAUUCUUUGGGAGUUCCCUUCAUAGCUGAGCGGAAAUGAAUCUGACUAGUGUCCAUGAGGAUGUGGGUUUGAUUCCUGGCCUCACUCAAUGGGUUAAGAAUCCGGUGUUGCUGUGAGCUGUGGUGUAGGUUGCAGACACGGCUCGGAUCCCGCGUUGCUGUGGCUGUGAUGUAGGCUGGCAGCUGCAGCUCCCAUUCCACCCCUAGCCUGGGAACUUCCACGUGCCAUGGGUGCGGCCCUAAAAAGCCAAAAAAAAAAAAAAAAAAAAAAAAAAAGAAAAAGAAAAUCAUUCUUCAGAAGGAAAGGCAGAACAUGGUACAGCAAUGGGGAAAACAAUCACAAAAAUUCUCCUAAGGUCAUAAAUGAGUAGUCAUUAUUCUGAAGCAGACAGUUCCCACAGUAGAAUAGCUCUCCUGCCAACCUCAUGUCCAUAUUCAGCUGAAAUACCAUCUUGGGGAAAAAAGCUAACACUUCAAGCCAGAAUGUUUAGGAGAGAAUACCUAUAUUCCAGCCUUUUAAAUAUAUAGAAUGUGGGGUAUAAGAGAUCAGAAGCUCAAAAAAAUGUUCCAGAAAAAAAGUUUCCACCUUUUCCUUUGAAAAGUAAAAAUAAAUUCAUGGGUUAUUCAGUAAUACUUUGUGAU
This 3490-nucleotide long non-coding RNA is filed under the name Sus scrofa (pig). RNAcentral's name for it is "lncRNA (ENSSSCG00055029311.1)". Lineage: Eukaryota; Metazoa; Chordata; Mammalia; Artiodactyla; Suidae. The record is from RNAcentral.